UGGUGUAAAGGAUGAUCCGCCUAAUAAUUUACUUUUAUUAUAUUGGUGUAUAUCUGGUUUAAUAUUAUUGCUGAAUGGCAGAAGUUGUGUAGUGUUAUUUAAGCCAAGUCUAUGUGCUGUUUAUAAAAGUAUUCAUGCGUUACAUUAAUAAGUAUUUAAUUGUAAUAUUAGAUGAUUUAGGACUUAAAAGUAAUGUUUAAUUAAUUAGUAAAUGUGAAAUAA
Molecule: ribosomal RNA, 222 nt
Filed under: Hydatigera taeniaeformis
Lineage: Eukaryota; Metazoa; Platyhelminthes; Cestoda; Cyclophyllidea; Taeniidae
Description: partial 12S ribosomal RNA
Source: RNAcentral